GACGAACGCUGGCGGCGUGCUUAACACAUGCAAGUCGAACGGAAAGGCCCUGCUUUUGUGGGGUGCUCGAGUGGCGAACGGGUGAGUAACACGGGAGUAACCUUCCCUUGACUUUGGGAUAACUUCAGGAAACUGGGGCUAAUACCGGAUAGUAGCUCCUGCUGCUUGGUGGGGGUUGGAAAGUUUCGGCGGGUGGGGAUGGACUCGCGGCUUAUCAGCUUGUUGGUGGGGUAGUGGCUUACCAAGGCAUUGACGGGUAGCCGGCCUGAGAGGGUGACCGGCCACAUUGGGACUGAGAUACGGCCCAGACUCCUACGGGAGGCAGCAGUGGGGAAUAUUGCACAAUGGGCGGAAGCCUGAUGCAGCAACGCCGCGUGCGGGAUGACGGCCUUCGGGUUGUAAACCGCUUUCGCCUGUGACGAAGCGUGAGUGACGGUAAUGGGUAAAGAAGCACCGGCUAACUACGUG
This 468-nucleotide ribosomal RNA is filed under the name uncultured bacterium. RNAcentral describes it as "partial 16S ribosomal RNA". It matches the Rfam family "Bacterial small subunit ribosomal RNA", at positions 28 to 507 of the family's 1533-position model. The record is from RNAcentral.